AUGGUUUUAAAGGUUCUAAAAUUAUUUCUUUUAUGCCAGGUGCCAUGCUGUGGAGAACAUCUGGCCGCCAUUUACACUUCAUUACCUCCAUGUUUCGAUCUGGUGCCUCCACUCCUCAGCACCUCUUUAUCUGUCGUGGCAGCAGCAAUGGAGGUCUCCAAGGCUCCUUCCUCUUCUGAGAUUCUUGAGACAUGGCACAGUGCCAAUGCGGUGUGCUUCGAUGUGGAUAGCACUGUAUGCUUGUAUGAGGGUAGUGAUGAGCUUGCUGAUUUAUGUGGGGCUGGCAGGCGGUUGCCGAGUGGACGACAAAGUAAUUGUCAUAGUUUCUGGACUAUGGCGAUGAUAGGGACCGUUCCAUUUGAAGAGGCUCUUGCUGCCUGGAUCUCUUUAAGCAAGCCAUCUCUGUCCCAAGUUGAGGACCCCAAUAAUACUGAAGUAUUCCUUGUGUCCGGAGGUUCCCGGCAAAUGAUCAAGAUAUUUGGUGCUAAACCUAUCGCGAAAUAUGCUUUCUAUGUUCAUAUAUUGUUAAGUGGCUUAUUGUGUGCAUACAAAUGUUUUGACCGGCACCCUCGCGCCAAGGCGCGAUCCCGAUCUAAGUCAAUUUUUGACCACCGUCUUUUGGCUCUUGCUUUCAACAUAUGCAGUAUUGACUUCUUGAGCCAUUCUCUAUUUACUUUCGAUACAUUUUUCAAAAUAAACAACCAAUGUUUCCUCCAUAUAUGA
RNAcentral lists this ribosomal RNA (723 nucleotides) under Triticum aestivum (bread wheat). RNAcentral's name for it is "partial small subunit ribosomal RNA". The record is from RNAcentral. Lineage: Eukaryota; Viridiplantae; Streptophyta; Magnoliopsida; Poales; Poaceae.